UACGUAGGGGGCUAGCGUUGUCCGGAUUUAUUGGGCGUAAAGAGCGUGUAGGCGGCCAGGUAGGUCCGGUGUGAAAACUCGAGGCUUAACCUCGAGAUGUCAUCGGAAACCAUCUGGCUAGAGUCCGGAAGAGGAAAGUGGAAUUCCUGGUGUAGCGGUGAAAUGCGCAGAUAUCAGGAAGAACACCAAUGGCGAAAGCAGCUUUCUGGGACAGUACUGACGCUGAGACGCGAAAGCGUGGGGAGCGAACAGG
Molecule: ribosomal RNA, 253 nt
Filed under: uncultured bacterium
Lineage: Bacteria
Description: partial 16S ribosomal RNA
Rfam family: Bacterial small subunit ribosomal RNA
Source: RNAcentral